AGAGUUUGAUCAUGGCUCAGAUUGAACGCUGGCGGCAGGCCUAACACAUGCAAGUCGAGCGGUAGCACAGAGAGCUUGCUCUCGGGUGACGAGCGGCGGACGGGUGAGUAAUGUCUGGGAAACUGCCUGAUGGAGGGGGAUAACUACUGGAAACGGUAGCUAAUACCGCAUAACGUCGCAAGACCAAAGUGGGGGACCUUCGGGCCUCAUGCCAUCAGAUGUGCCCAGAUGGGAUUAGCUAGUAGGUGGGGUAAUGGCUCACCUAGGCGACGAUCCCUAGCUGGUCUGAGAGGAUGACCAGCCACACUGGAACUGAGACACGGUCCAGACUCCUACGGGAGGCAGCAGUGGGGAAUAUUGCACAAUGGGCGCAAGCCUGAUGCAGCCAUGCCGCGUGUAUGAAGAAGGCCUUCGGGUUGUAAAGUACUUUCAGCGAGGAGGAAGGCGUUAAGGUUAAUAACCUUGGCGAUUGACGUUACUCGCAGAAGAAGCACCGGCUAACUCCGUGCCAGCAGCCGCGGUAAUACGGAGGGUGCAAGCGUUAAUCGGAAUUACUGGGCGUAAAGCGCACGCAGGCGGUCUGUCAAGUCGGAUGUGAAAUCCCCGGGCUCAACCUGGGAACUGCAUUCGAAACUGGCAGGCUAGAGUCUUGUAGAGGGGGUAGAAUUCCAGGUGUAGCGGUGAAAUGCGUAGAGAUCUGGAGGAAUACCGGUGGCGAAGGCGGCCCCCUGGACAAAGACUGACGCUCAGGUGCGAAAGCGUGGGGAGCAAACAGGAUUAGAUACCCUGGUAGUCCACGCCGUAAACGAUGUCGACUUGGAGGUUGUGCCCUUGAGGCGUGGCUUCCGGAGCUAACGCGUUAAGUCGACCGCCUGGGGAGUACGGCCGCAAGGUUAAAACUCAAAUGAAUUGACGGGGGCCCGCACAAGCGGUGGAGCAUGUGGUUUAAUUCGAUGCAACGCGAAGAACCUUACCUACUCUUGACAUCCAGAGAACUUAGCAGAGAUGCUUUGGUGCCUUCGGGAACUCUGAGACAGGUGCUGCAUGGCUGUCGUCAGCUCGUGUUGUGAAAUGUUGGGUUAAGUCCCGCAACGAGCGCAACCCUUAUCCUUUGUUGCCAGCGAUUCGGUCGGGAACUCAAAGGAGACUGCCAGUGAUAAACUGGAGGAAGGUGGGGAUGACGUCAAGUCAUCAUGGCCCUUACGAGUAGGGCUACACACGUGCUACAAUGGCAUAUACAAAGAGAAGCGACCUCGCGAGAGCAAGCGGACCUCAUAAAGUAUGUCGUAGUCCGGAUUGGAGUCUGCAACUCGACUCCAUGAAGUCGGAAUCGCUAGUAAUCGUAGAUCAGAAUGCUACGGUGAAUACGUUCCCGGGCCUUGUACACACCGCCCGUCACACCAUGGGAGUGGGUUGCAAAAGAAGUAGGUAGCUUAACCUUCGGGAGGGCGCUUACCACUUUGUGAUUCAUGACUGGGGUGAAGUCGUAACAAGGUAACCGUAGGGGAACCUGCGGUUG
RNAcentral lists this ribosomal RNA (1519 nucleotides) under Klebsiella aerogenes. RNAcentral's name for it is "bacterial SSU rRNA". It matches the Rfam family "Bacterial small subunit ribosomal RNA". The record is from RNAcentral. RNAcentral also lists the same sequence under 1 other name. Lineage: Bacteria; Pseudomonadati; Pseudomonadota; Gammaproteobacteria; Enterobacterales; Enterobacteriaceae.